AAUUAAGCGGAGGAAAAGAAACUAACUAGGAUUCCCUCAGUAACGGCGAGUGAAGCGGGACUAGCUCAGGAUGUGAAUCUGCGCUUUUAUGGCGCCGAAUUGUGGUCUGUAGACCUUGACGUUAUUUGCCGGGCCAAGUUCCUUGGAAAAGGACAGCUGAGAGGGUGAGACUCCCGUCCGCCUGGUAGAGUGAGUCAUGUGUCAACGAGUCGAGUUGUUUGGGAUUGCAGCUCUAAUUUGGUGGUAAAUUCCAUCUAAAGCUAAAUAUUGGUGGGAGACCGAUAGCGUACAAGUACCGUGAGGGAAAGAUGCAAAGAACUUUGAAAAGAGAGUUAAAGAGUACCUGAAAUUGCUGAAACGGAAGCGAAGGAAACCAGUGUUUGUUGGUUCAUAUUUCCUUAACCACUUGUGGUUUGGGCGCUGUGAGCUUGCGUGAGUUUGGGUUGGUUGAUUCCUUUGGAAGAGCGCAGACAGAGUUGAUGUUUGUUGCUAGCACUGGGAUUGACUGAUGCAGACGAAAUGGUUUUCUUUACCCCGUCUUGAAACACGGACCAAGGAGUCUAACAUAUGUGCGAGUACAGGGGUGUCAAACCCCGGUGCGUAAUGAAAGUGACAGUGGUUGGAUUUUUUUGCACAAUCCGCCGGCCUCAAUCCUUCGGGAGAACGGUCUGAGUGUGAGCAUACAUGUUGGGACCCGAAAGAUGGUGAACUAUGCCUGAAUAGGGUGAAG
This 730-nucleotide ribosomal RNA is filed under the name Fragilariopsis kerguelensis. RNAcentral describes it as "eukaryotic LSU rRNA". It matches the Rfam family "Eukaryotic large subunit ribosomal RNA", at positions 44 to 851 of the family's 3401-position model. Lineage: Eukaryota; Bacillariophyta; Bacillariophyceae; Bacillariales; Bacillariaceae. The record is from RNAcentral.